AUACGGAGGGUGCAAGCGUUGUUCGGAAUUACUGGGCGUAAAGCGCGCGUAGGUGGUCUGUUGUGUCAGAUGUGAAAGUCCACGGCUCAACCGUGGAAGUGCAUUUGAAACUGGCAGACUUGAGUACUGGAGGGGGUAGUGGAAUUCCCGGUGUAGAGGUGAAAUUCGUAGAUAUCGGGAGGAAUACCGGUGGCGAAGGCGACUACCUGGCCAGAUACUGACACUGAGGUGCGAAAGCGUGGGGAGCAAACAGGAUUAGAAACCCUAGUAGUCC
RNAcentral lists this ribosomal RNA (274 nucleotides) under uncultured bacterium. RNAcentral's name for it is "partial 16S ribosomal RNA". It matches the Rfam family "Bacterial small subunit ribosomal RNA", at positions 523 to 796 of the family's 1533-position model. The record is from RNAcentral.